This 77-nucleotide transfer RNA is filed under the name Clostridiaceae bacterium. RNAcentral's name for it is "tRNA-Val". It matches the Rfam family "tRNA". Rfam says of the family: Transfer RNA (tRNA) molecules are approximately 80 nucleotides in length. The record is from RNAcentral. Lineage: Bacteria; Bacillati; Bacillota; Clostridia; Eubacteriales; Clostridiaceae. RNAcentral also lists the same sequence under 3 other names.
GGACGAUUAGCUCACUUGGCUAGAGCGCCUGUUUGACGUACAGGAGGUAACAGGUUCGAUUCCUGUAUCGUCCACCA